RNAcentral lists this long non-coding RNA (972 nucleotides) under Ananas comosus (pineapple). RNAcentral describes it as "long non-coding RNA (ACOM_LNC005534)". Lineage: Eukaryota; Viridiplantae; Streptophyta; Magnoliopsida; Poales; Bromeliaceae. The record is from RNAcentral.
AAAGUUUGAAUCGUAGUCUAAGUCUCACUUUCAUUUCCUCAGAUAUGAAAGCAGAAUUGUUGAGCACAUUUAGAUAAUCAUAUCACUAUAGAGCCAAAUAUGUCCUUGCAAAGAAAAAGGGAAAAAAGGAUUAAUUGUUGAUCAAGACAAAAGGAUAAUGAUAGCAUCAUGAAUUUCCCGCACUAGAUGUGUAGCUUCCAAACUCGAGGCGAUUUUUCUCACACUCUAGAUCUUUAGUUAUGGGUUUGAUACGAGGCUUAUCUAGCAGGUAGCUGGAAAAUGAAAUGCAAAUCCCUAAAUUGUUUCAUGAGCAAGCCACAUUGCCUUACAGUGUGAAUUUCCUACAUCAAAUCUAUACAUUCUAAUAAUCCAACUCCCUCUAAGCUACCAUUGUAGGCAACUAGAUAGUACAUUUGCUUUUGUUUUGCAUUGUUAGGAAAUCAACAGAUCAAUCGUUCAGAAUUAAACUGAUUAUUAAUGAUAGCCUGUAGAGUACAACUAAAUUUGAUAACAAAAUACUACAGUUGGUAGAAACUAUGGAUCAGAAUCAGAAGGAAUUAAUCUGAAAAAUAUAAUCACAUACCAAAUUAAGUGCUCUUCCACUGUAAGAUCUUAAGAACAAAAACCCUAGAUUGGGAUUAGAAGUUGAUCGUGCGCACAAUCUGAGCACUUGAGCUUCUCCAAAGUUGAUGACGAGGAGAGGACAAAACUUGAGGACGGCGUUGCGGCGGUGGUGGUGAUAAUCGAGCUACGCGAAAAUCUCUUGCGGAAGGAGAAGGGAUCGACAUGAGAUUAGAGAAAUCGCCAUAAGAGACACAGUGAGGUAGCACCUAGAGCUCGCCAUGGGAGAUCGUGAGGGAGGUGAAAUGGAGGAGAUGAUGUGGGAAAGAGGGUUGGAGAGGAGCAAGGUGGGUUAAUGGGUUUCUUUUCUUUUUUUUUUCCAUUUUUUUGGGUGCUUUAGGUCAGGUAACG